This 447-nucleotide ribosomal RNA is filed under the name Escherichia coli. RNAcentral's name for it is "partial 23S ribosomal RNA". It matches the Rfam family "Bacterial large subunit ribosomal RNA", at positions 2211 to 2657 of the family's 2925-position model. Lineage: Bacteria; Pseudomonadati; Pseudomonadota; Gammaproteobacteria; Enterobacterales; Enterobacteriaceae. RNAcentral also lists the same sequence under 1 other name. The record is from RNAcentral.
UGUUUGAUGUUCUAACGUGGACCCGUGAUCCGGGUUGCGGACAGUGUCUGGUGGGUAGUUUGACUGGGGCGGUCUCCUCCUAAAGAGUAACGGAGGAGCACGAAGGUUGGCUAAUCCUGGUCGGACAUCAGGAGGUUAGUGCAAUGGCAUAAGCCAGCUUGACUGCGAGCGUGACGGCGCGAGCAGGUGCGAAAGCAGGUCAUAGUGAUCCGGUGGUUCUGAAUGGAAGGGCCAUCGCUCAACGGAUAAAAGGUACUCCGGGGAUAACAGGCUGAUACCGCCCAAGAGUUCAUAUCGACGGCGGUGUUUGGCACCUCGAUGUCGGCUCAUCACAUCCUGGGGCUGAAGUAGGUCCCAAGGGUAUGGCUGUUCGCCAUUUAAAGUGGUACGCGAGCUGGGUUUAGAACGUCGUGAGACAGUUCGGUCCCUAUCUGCCGUGGGCGCUGG